GCGAGAGUGGCGGAAUUGGCAGACGCGCCAGAUUUAGGAUCUGGUUCCCUACCGGGAAUGGGGGUUCGAGUCCCCCCUCUCGCAC
This 85-nucleotide transfer RNA is filed under the name Planctomycetaceae bacterium. Its description in RNAcentral is "tRNA-Leu". It matches the Rfam family "tRNA". From Rfam's summary of the family: Transfer RNA (tRNA) molecules are approximately 80 nucleotides in length. Their secondary structure includes four short double-helical elements and three loops (D, anti-codon, and T loops). The record is from RNAcentral. Lineage: Bacteria; Pseudomonadati; Planctomycetota; Planctomycetia; Planctomycetales; Planctomycetaceae.